UCGAGAAUUUUUCACAAUGGGGGAAACCCUGAUGGAGCGACGCCGCGUGGAGGAUGAAGGCGUUUUCGUUGUAAACUCCUGUCAAACGGGAACAAGAAAGUGAUAGUACCGUUAGAGGAAGAGACGGCUAACUCUGUGCCAGCAGCCGCGGUAAUACAGAGGUCUCAAGCGUUGUUCGGAUUCAUUGGGCGUAAAGGGUGCGUAGGUGGCUUGUUAAGUUGAAGGUGAAAUCUCGGGGCUCAACUCCGAAACUACCUUCAAUACUGGCGAGCUCGAGGACUGUAGAGGAGAAUGGAAUUCACGGUGUAGCAGUGAAAUGCGUAGAUAUCGUGAGGAAGACCAGUGGCGAAGGCGAUUCUCUGGGCAGUUCCUGACACUGAGGCACGAAGGCCAGGGGAGCAAACGGG
This 407-nucleotide ribosomal RNA is filed under the name bacterium. Its description in RNAcentral is "partial 16S ribosomal RNA". It matches the Rfam family "Bacterial small subunit ribosomal RNA", at positions 355 to 776 of the family's 1533-position model. The record is from RNAcentral.